CCUCCGGGGGGCUGCAGUGGGGAAUAUUGGACAAUGGGGGCAACCCUGAUCCAGCCAUGCCGCGUGUGUGAAGAAGGCCCUCGGGUUGUAAAGCACUUUCAGUGAGGAAGAACGCCUGGUGGUUAAUACCCAUCAGGAAAGACAUCACUCACAGAAGAAGCACCGGCUAACUCCGUGCCAGCAGCCGCGGUAAUACGGAGGGUGCGAGCGUUAAUCGGAAUUACUGGGCGUAAAGCGCGCGUAGGUGGCUUGAUAAGCCGGUUGUGAAAGCCCCGGGCUCAACCUGGGAACGGCAUCCGGAACUGUCAAGCUAGAGUGCAGGAGAGGAAGGUAGAAUUCCCGGUGUAGCGGUGAAAUGCGUAGAGAUCGGGAGGAAUACCAGUGGCGAAGGCGGCCUUCUGGACUGACACUGACACUGAGGUGCGAAAGCGUGGGUAGCAAACAGGAUUAGAUACCCGGGUAGUC
Molecule: ribosomal RNA, 465 nt
Filed under: Vreelandella stevensii
Lineage: Bacteria; Pseudomonadati; Pseudomonadota; Gammaproteobacteria; Oceanospirillales; Halomonadaceae
Description: partial 16S ribosomal RNA
Rfam family: Bacterial small subunit ribosomal RNA
Source: RNAcentral